This 442-nucleotide ribosomal RNA is filed under the name uncultured bacterium. Its description in RNAcentral is "partial 16S ribosomal RNA". It matches the Rfam family "Bacterial small subunit ribosomal RNA", at positions 338 to 795 of the family's 1533-position model. The record is from RNAcentral.
CCUACGGGAGGCAGCAGUGGGGAAUAUUGGUCAAUGGACGCAAGUCUGACCCAGCAAAGCCGCGUGAAGGAAGAAGGCUUUCGGGUUGUAAACUUCUUUUAAGGGGGAAGAGCAGAAGACGGUACCCCUUGAAUAAGCAACGGCUAACUACGGGCCAGCAGCCGCGGUAAUACGGAGGUGGCAAGCGUUGACCGGAUUUACUGGGUGUAACGGGCGUGCAGCCGGGGAGACAAGUCAGAUGGGAAAUCCACGGGCUCAACCCGUGAACUGCAUUUGAAACUGUUUCCCUUGAGUGUCUGAGAAGUAUUCGGAAUGCCUGGUGUAGCGGUGAAAUGCAUAGAUAUAAGGAAGAACACCGGUGGCGAAGGCGGAUUACUGGACGAUAACUGACGGUGAGGCGCGAAAGCGUGGGGAGCGAACAGGAUUAGAUACCCGGGUAGUC